CNCCGUAAACGCUGAGUGCUAGGUGUUAGGUCCUUUCCGGGACUUAGUGCNGACGCUAACGCAUUAAGCACUCCGCCUGGGGAGUACGACCGCAAGGUUGAAACUCAAAGGAAUUGACGGGGGCCCGCACAAGCGGUGGAGCAUGUGGUUUAAUUCGAAGCAACGCGAAGAACCUUACCAGGUCUUGACAUCCCGAUGCCCGCUCUAGAGAUAGAGUUUUACUUUUUGUACAUCGGAGACAGGUGGUGCAUGGUUGUCGUCAGCUCGUGUCGUGAGAUGUUGGGUUAAGUCCCGCAACGAGCGCAACCCUUAUUGUUAGUUGCCAUCAUUAAGUUGGGCACUCUAGCGAGACUGCCGGUAAUAAACCGGAGGAAGGUGGGGAUGACGUCAAAUCAUCAUGCCCCUUAUGACCUGGGCUACACACGUGCUACAAUGGUUGGUACAACGAGUCGCAAGCCGGUGACGGCAAGCUAAUCUCUGAAAGCCAAUCUCAGUUCGGAUUGUAGGCUGCAACUCGCCUACAUGAAGUCGGAAUCGCUAGUAAUCGCGGAUCAGCACGCCGCGGUGAAUACGUUCCCGGGCCU
This 584-nucleotide ribosomal RNA is filed under the name uncultured bacterium. RNAcentral describes it as "bacterial SSU rRNA". It matches the Rfam family "Bacterial small subunit ribosomal RNA", at positions 798 to 1381 of the family's 1533-position model. The record is from RNAcentral.